This 427-nucleotide ribosomal RNA is filed under the name uncultured bacterium. RNAcentral's name for it is "bacterial SSU rRNA". It matches the Rfam family "Bacterial small subunit ribosomal RNA", at positions 376 to 793 of the family's 1533-position model. The record is from RNAcentral.
CGCAAGCCUAAUGCAGCCAUGCCGCGUGUAUGAAGAAGGCCUUCGGGUUGUAAAGUACUUUCAGCAGUGAGGAAGGUGGGUAUGUUAAUAGCAUAUUCAUUUGACGUUAGCUGCAGAAGAAGCACCGGCUAACUCCGUGCCAGCAGCCGCGGUAAUACGGAGGGUGCGAGCGUUAAUACGGAAUUACUGGGCGUAAAGCGCAUGCAGGUGGUUUGUUAAGUCAGAUGUGAAAGCCCCGGGGCUCAACCUCGGAAUUGCAUUUGAAACUGACAAACUAGAGUACUGUAGAGGGGGUAGAAUUUCAGGUGUAGCGGUGAAAUGCGUAGAGAUCUGAAGGAAUACCGGUGGCGAAGGCGGCCCCCUGGACAGAUACUGACACUCAGAUGCGAAAGCGUGGGGAGCAAACAGGAUUAGACUACCCUGGUAG